Neltuma alba is the source of this 563-nucleotide long non-coding RNA. RefSeq lists it as uncharacterized. The transcript is spliced from 3 exons. The record is from RefSeq and is a predicted model, not a curated record. NCBI's taxonomy places the organism in Eukaryota, Viridiplantae, Streptophyta, Magnoliopsida, Fabales, Fabaceae.
GCCCAAGCACCACUGAAUCAUUAUCCGUUAGUGAGUCCGAACGUGAAAGCUGAAGAAGUAAUCAUUGCCUCUCUCUCGCUCCCAGCAUCACGUUUCAGAAACUCUACUCAUCUCCAGAUCAACCGCAAAUAUGGCUGACGUUGAUUCGCUCCCGGAAUUCCUCGCGUCUGCAAUCGAUGCUGCUCGGAAAGCUGGCGAGGUCAUUCGAAAAGCGUUCUACGAGACCAAACAUGUGGAGCAUAAAGGACAGGUUUGCACUGCAAAUGCGCUUCUACCAAACUUCGUUUUUUCCCCUAGUGAUUGAUUAUGGGUCCCAUUUGUCACCUGCCUACACAAAAGUAGAUUUUUAUUAUUUUAAAUUUUAAUGCUUCUUUAUCAUCAAGUUCAUACCAAUUCGUGCAUUGUUAUCACCAAGGGGUAUAUAGAUUUUUAAUCUCUAUAGAUUGAAAGGACGGGAAAAUCAUUUCUGCCAUGGCCGGUGCCUCACCGGCCAGCAUUAUGGGGCUACCGUUGAUUGUUCUGAGGAUUUAUUGUAAUUUACUCUAAAAUCUUGAAUUUAUUUA